Molecule: non-coding RNA, 75 nt
Organism: Trichonephila inaurata madagascariensis
Lineage: Eukaryota; Metazoa; Arthropoda; Arachnida; Araneae; Nephilidae
Source: the annotation of a GenBank genome assembly
GGUUCCGUAGUGUAGUGGAUUAUCACGUUCGCUUCACACGCAUGAAAGGUCUCGGUUCGAUCCCGGACGGAACCA